This 301-nucleotide ribosomal RNA is filed under the name Staphylococcus aureus. RNAcentral's name for it is "bacterial SSU rRNA". It matches the Rfam family "Bacterial small subunit ribosomal RNA", at positions 711 to 1010 of the family's 1533-position model. The record is from RNAcentral. Lineage: Bacteria; Bacillati; Bacillota; Bacilli; Caryophanales; Staphylococcaceae.
AGUGGCGAAGGCGACUUUCUGGUCUGUAACUGACGCUGAUGUGCGAAAGCGUGGGGAUCAAACAGGAUUAGAUACCCUGGUAGUCCACGCCGUAAACGAUGAGUGCUAAGUGUUAGGGGGUUUCCGCCCCUUAGUGCUGCAGCUAACGCAUUAAGCACGCCGCCUGGGGAGUACGACCGCAAGGUUGAAACUCAAAGGAAUGGACGGGGACCCGCACAAGCGGUGGAGCAUGUGGUUUAAUUCGAAGCAACGCGAAGAACCUUACCAAAUCUUGACAUCCUUUGACAACUCUAGAGAUAGA